UCCCAUUCAACAUCUUAUUUCACACAAAUGUCUGAUGCUCAGGUGGUGUUUAUAGCAGCCAGAUCUCACUAGUCCUAUCAAUAUGUCCCUGUCUCUACCUCGGUGGUUCCCUAGAGCCACUCUAUCUCCUUGUCUUCUAAAAUCUUUGUUUUCUCCCUUUGCUCAGCAGCCCAUCCUUUAAUGUUUCCCAUUCUGCUUUCUCAUUUUGGGUGUAUUGACAGAUAUCUUUACCCAGGCACCUCUCACUCCAGAGCAUUUCCACCUUCACACAUCUCACACUUUUGACCUUUCGUACCAGCAAUCUCACAUUUUCUCACUCUUUGUUUUUCACAGUGGCCCGGCCUCUUCUGUAUUCAUUCAUGCUCUAUUAGUACUAGACCCUAAACUCUUCUCUGCCCCUCUAUAGCUCAAUGAUCCCUUGACCACACAAACCUGGAGUUUCUGCUUUCAUACAUCGGUCACAAUCAAGCUCAAUAGAUUUAGCCGCAUAGCCCACAGGGAGCAGCCUUGUCUCUCCACACCACGCUCAUUCACUCCAUCACUUCUCUCCUCAUUCAUUCAUUCAGGUAGAUUUUCUAAACGCCCAAUCAUCACUUUCACUCUUCACCAUUUACAUUGCACGUUCUCCAAUGGCUCUUUUGCAGCGAAGCAUUUUUGACACUCACCCUCUCAUCUUUCAUCCUUUCAUGGUUUUGUUGUCAGCUAUUCAUCCUGCAUGGCUUAGGCUUCUGCUUUCACAUACACAUUGCACACACACGCACUUUUAUACCCACACGCAUGUGCAGACACGCAGACACAUAUGCAUACACACACAGGCACAUACCCCCCCCCCACACACACAGCAAAGCACACUUAUUUCCAACAAAU
This 867-nucleotide long non-coding RNA is filed under the name Sarcophilus harrisii (Tasmanian devil). RNAcentral's name for it is "lncRNA (ENSSHAG00000029283.1)". The record is from RNAcentral. Lineage: Eukaryota; Metazoa; Chordata; Mammalia; Dasyuromorphia; Dasyuridae.